GAUGAACGCUGACAGAAUGCUUAACAUAUGCAAGUCUUUGGCGAAGCUGUGCUCGCACAGCCUAGCCAAGGCGGACGGGUGAGUAACGCGUAAGGAACUUGCCCUGCAGUCAGGGAUAACAGACGGAAACGACUGAUAAGACCUGGUAAAGUCAGGCGGACUCAUGUCCAGCCUGAUGAAAAGAGAUGCUGCAGGAGAGCCUUGCGUCCUAUUAGCUUGUUGGUGGGGUAACGGCCCACCAAGGCGAUGAUAGGUAGCCGGCCUGAGAGGGUGGACGGCCACAAGGGGACUGAGAUACGGCCCUUACUCCUACGGGAGGCAGCAGUGGGGAAUAUUGGACAAUGGGGGCAACCCUGAUCCAGCAAUUCUGUGUGCACGAUGAAGGUUUUCGGAUUGUAAAGUGCUUUCAGCAGGGAAGAAAAAAAUGACGGUACCUGCAGAAGAAGCGACGGCUAAAUACGUG
This 463-nucleotide ribosomal RNA is filed under the name uncultured bacterium. Its description in RNAcentral is "partial 16S ribosomal RNA". It matches the Rfam family "Bacterial small subunit ribosomal RNA", at positions 28 to 507 of the family's 1533-position model. The record is from RNAcentral.